Long non-coding RNA from Aethalodelphis obliquidens (Pacific white-sided dolphin), 140 nucleotides. RefSeq lists it as uncharacterized. The transcript has 3 exons. NCBI's taxonomy places the organism in Eukaryota, Metazoa, Chordata, Mammalia, Artiodactyla, Delphinidae. The record is from RefSeq and is a predicted model, not a curated record.
AAACUUAAAAUGAUGCAGAUGUUUUAUGGGGACAGAGUUUCCGUUUGGGAAGAUGAAGAAGUUCUGGAGAUGCAUGGUGGUGACGGCUGCACAGCGCUGUGACUGUACUUAAUGCCCCUGAACUGCACUCUUAAAAAUGG